UACGUAGGUGGCAAGCGUUGUCCGGAUUUACUGGGCGUAAAGAGCGCGCAGGCGGCCGUAUAAGUCGAAUGUGAAAGCCCCCGGCUCAACUGGGGAGGGUCAUUCGAUACUGUUCGACUCGAAGGCAGGAGAGGGAAGUGGAAUUCCGGGUGUAGUGGUGAAAUGCGUAGAUAUCCGGAGGAACACCAGUGGCGAAGGCGACUUUCUGGCCUGUUCUUGACGCUGAGGCGCGAAAGCUAGGGGAGCAAACGGG
This 253-nucleotide ribosomal RNA is filed under the name uncultured bacterium. RNAcentral's name for it is "partial 16S ribosomal RNA". It matches the Rfam family "Bacterial small subunit ribosomal RNA", at positions 524 to 776 of the family's 1533-position model. The record is from RNAcentral.